GACAGAGGGGGCAAGCGUUGUUCGGAAUUACUGGGCGUAAAGGGCGCGUAGGCGGCCUGCUAAGUCGAACGUGAAAUCCCCGAGCUCAACUCGGGAACUGCGUCCGAUACUGGCAGGCUUGAAUCCGGGAGAGGGAUGCGGAAUUCCAGGUGUAGCGGUGAAAUGCGUAGAUAUCAGGAGGAACACCGGUGGCGAAGGCGGGUCCCUGGGCCGAUACUGACGCUGAGGAGCGAAAGCGUGGGGAGCAAACAGG
Molecule: ribosomal RNA, 253 nt
Filed under: uncultured bacterium
Lineage: Bacteria
Description: partial 16S ribosomal RNA
Rfam family: Bacterial small subunit ribosomal RNA
Source: RNAcentral